GACGAACGCUGGCGGCGUGCUUAACACAUGCAAGUCGAACGGAAAGGCCCUGCUUUUGUGGGGUGCUCGAGUGGCGAACGGGUGAGUAACACGUGAGUAACCUGCCCUUGACUUUGGGAUAACUUCAGGAAACUGGGGCUAAUACCGGAUAGGAGCUCCUGCUGCAUGGUGGGGGUUGGAAAGUUUCGGCGGUUGGGGAUGGACUCGCGGCUUAUCAGCUUGUUGGUGGGGUAGUGGCUUACCAAGGCUUUGACGGGUAGCCGGCCUGAGAGGGUGACCGGCCACAAUGGGACUAAGAGACGGCCCAGACUCCUACGGGAGGCAGCAGUGGAGAAUAUUGCACAAUGGGCGGAAGCCUGAUGCAGCAACGCCGCGUGCGGGAUGACGGCCUUCGGGUUGUAAACCGCUUUCGCCUGUGACGAAGCGUGAGUGACGGUAAUGGGUGAAGAAGCACCGGCUAACUACGUG
Molecule: ribosomal RNA, 468 nt
Filed under: uncultured bacterium
Lineage: Bacteria
Description: partial 16S ribosomal RNA
Rfam family: Bacterial small subunit ribosomal RNA
Source: RNAcentral